CCUACGGGGGGCUGCAGUGGGGAAUAUUGGACAAUGGGGGCAACCCUGAUCCAGCCAUGCCGCGUGUGUGAAGAAGGCCCUCGGGUUGUAAAGCACUUUCAGUGAGGAAGAACGCCUGGUGGUUAAUACCCAUCAGGAAAGACAUCACUCACAGAAGAAGCACCGGCUAACUCCGUGCCAGCAGCCGCGGUAAUACGGAGGGUGCGAGCGUUAAUCGGAAUUACUGGGCGUAAAGCGCGCGUAGGUGGCUUGAUAAGCCGGUUGUGAAAGCCCCGGGCUCAACCUGGAACGGCAUCCGGAACUGUCAAGCUAGAGUGCAGGAGAGGAAGGUAGAAUUCCCGGUGUAGCGGUGAAAUGCGUAGAGAUCGGGAGGAAUACCAGUGGCGAAGGCGGCCUUCUGGACUGACACUGACACUGAGGUGCGAAAGCGUGGGUAGCAAACAGGAUUAGAUACCCCUGUAGUC
RNAcentral lists this ribosomal RNA (464 nucleotides) under Vreelandella stevensii. RNAcentral's name for it is "partial 16S ribosomal RNA". It matches the Rfam family "Bacterial small subunit ribosomal RNA", at positions 338 to 795 of the family's 1533-position model. The record is from RNAcentral. Lineage: Bacteria; Pseudomonadati; Pseudomonadota; Gammaproteobacteria; Oceanospirillales; Halomonadaceae.